AGCAAAUAGAUACCCAGGUAGUCCACGCCCUAAACGAUGUCAACUGGUUGUUGGGUCUUCACUGACUCAGUAAACGAAAGCUAAACGCGUGAAGUUGACCGCCUGGGGAGUACGGCCGCAAGGUUAAAACUCAAAGGAAUUGACGGGGACCCGCACAAGCGGUGGAUGAUGUGGUUUAACUCGAUGCAACGCGAAAAACCUUACCCACCUUUGACAUGUACGGAAGACUGCAGAGACGCAGUUGUGCUCGAAAGAGAGCCGUAACACAGGUGUUGCAUGGCUGUCGUCAGCUCGUGUCGUGAGAUGUUGGGUUAAGUCCCGCAACGAGCGCAACCCUUGCCAUUAGUUGCUACGAAAGGGCACUCUAAUGGGACUGCCGGUGACAAACCGGAGGAAGGUGGGGAUGACGUCAAGUCCUCAUGGCCCUUAUAGGUGGGGCUACACACGUCAUACAAUGGCUGGUACAAAGGGUUGCCAACCCGCGAGGGGGAGCUAAUCCCAUAAAGCCAGUCGUAGUCCGGAUCGCAGUCUGCAACUCGACUGC
Molecule: ribosomal RNA, 544 nt
Filed under: uncultured bacterium
Lineage: Bacteria
Description: bacterial SSU rRNA
Rfam family: Bacterial small subunit ribosomal RNA
Source: RNAcentral